GACGAACGCUGGCGGCGUGCUUAACACAUGCAAGUCGAACGGAAAGGCCUUUUCGGAGGUACUCGAGUGGCGAACGGGUGAGUAACACGUGGGUGAUCUGCCCUGCACUCUGGGAUAAGCCUGGGAAACUGGGUCUAAUACCGGAUAGGACCGCACUUUAGUGUGUGUGGUGGAAAGUUUUUUCGGUGUAGGAUGAGCCCGCGGCCUAUCAGCUUGUUGGUGGGGUAAUGGCCUACCAAGGCGGCGACGGGUAGCCGGACUGAGAGGUUGGUCGGCCACAUGGGACUGGGAAACGGCCCAGACUCCUACGGGGAGCAGCAGGUGGGGAUAUUGCACAAUGGGCGCAAGCCUGAUGCAGCGACGCCGCGUGGGGGAUGACGGCCUUCGGGUUGUAAACUCCUUUCGCCAGGGACGAAGCGUUUUGUGACGGUACCUGGAGAAGAAGCACCGGCUAACUACGUG
Molecule: ribosomal RNA, 462 nt
Filed under: uncultured bacterium
Lineage: Bacteria
Description: partial 16S ribosomal RNA
Rfam family: Bacterial small subunit ribosomal RNA
Source: RNAcentral